This 253-nucleotide ribosomal RNA is filed under the name uncultured Alphaproteobacteria bacterium. Its description in RNAcentral is "partial 16S ribosomal RNA". It matches the Rfam family "Bacterial small subunit ribosomal RNA", at positions 524 to 776 of the family's 1533-position model. Lineage: Bacteria; Pseudomonadati; Pseudomonadota; Alphaproteobacteria. The record is from RNAcentral.
UACGAAGGGGGCUAGCGUUGCUCGGAUUUACUGGGCGUAAAGGGAGCGUAGGCGGGACGACAAGUUGGGGGUGAAAGCCCGGGGCUCAACCUCGGAAUUGCCUUCAAGACUGUCGACCUGGAGUUUGGGAGAGGUGAGUGGAACUCCGAGUGUAGAGGUGAAAUUCGUAGAUAUUCGGAAGAACACCAGUGGCGAAGGCGACUCACUGGCCCAAUACUGACGCUGAGGCUCGAAAGCGUGGGGAGCAAACAGG